Molecule: long non-coding RNA, 2957 nt
Organism: Cebus imitator (Panamanian white-faced capuchin)
Lineage: Eukaryota; Metazoa; Chordata; Mammalia; Primates; Cebidae
Exons: 3
Source: RefSeq, a predicted model, not a curated record
GAGCGAGGCGACUUCGGCGGCUCGGGCGCUUUCACCUCCCCGGAGCGGGAGCGGGAGUGGGGCGGGGUUGGGGCUGGGCCGUCCUGCCGCGGCUGGGGCAGCAGCCUUCCCCCGGGUCCGGCGCCGAGGCUGUCUCCUCAGGGGCGGGAAUGGAGCCUGGACCCCUGUCCAAAGCCGAGGCUCGGUCCGCGCUCCUGCGGCUAGGCUGAAGCUGCUCCCCCUCCCCGCCGCCUCCGGGCCGGAGCGGAGACUAACGUUCUGGCCGUGCACCCGCGCUGGGACCAGGCUGUGGUCCCGAGGCCGCAGCUCCGCUCUCGGCCGCCACCUCCCCCUGGGCCCCCUGCUCCCUCAGCCGCAGGCCACUCGGGGCGCUGGGGCUGGAAGGCUGCACCUCUUCCCUCUCCCCCGGGGCGGCCCCACUCCGUCCCCCUGUGCCGCCUGCAGCCGCGGCCCCCUCAGCAGCUGUCUCCUGGCGCCUCCUCGCCAUGCCCAGCAGAGCAGUUGGAGCAGAAGCCAGGCUGCGCGGAAGACUUUUCGGUGGGGCUUCUGCACUGAGGUGGAAACCCAGCAGAACCUGCCAUUUCUCCCCUCCCCGGCCCCGCAAGGCGGCCCGCCCGACCCCCGCAUCCCGGGUUUGGAGAAUCCUGCUGAGCGUGUGCAGUGGGAGGAUUCUCCAAAGCUUCCAGCUUGCCACCUGGAAGAAGGUCACUUUCCUUUGAGCAAAGGCGAUAAUGGGAGGUACCCUGCCGGCGUUCACUAAGAGGCGGGGGUGACAGGGGCUGUGGUUGCUCGGGGAGGGUUGUGGCACUCGGGGCUGGGUGGCUGUCCCUAAGCUUGCUCUGACAAAAGAGUUUUGAGUUGGUCUUUUGGCUGAGCCUGCCCAGGAAGGCGGGCCCCUGCAGGAGUCUUGGAGGGUCGGAUGCGGCGCCGGAUGAGGAUGAGGCGUGGCGGAAGAUGCGUUUGGCUCUGCAGACACUGCAUCGGGCAGCAGGGGACUCUGGGAGGCUGGUGCAGCCAGAAGGCAUGGCUCUUGACAGCCUUCUAGUAGAAUCUCUGGAAUUGUGCAUAUGGGGAUUGGUCGCUGAGCUACACAAGGCAGCCCAAGAAUUGUGGCCACUGCCAGUCAUGUCAGAGAAGGAAGGGCCAUCUUCUCUUUAACCUAUUGUCUCACACCCCAGUUUGGCCAAACUUCUCAGCCUGGGUGGGCUCUGAGGCCCCUGAAGCGGGCUUGUGGUUCUGGAGCCUGCAGAUGAUCCACUGAUCCCUGGGUCCUGCUCUGUCUCAGAAGUGGGGCACUGGAAUCUGGACCCCAAAGCAGCUGAACGGCCUCCUGCUGCACCAGGAAUUUCCUUUCCUGCUGGGGAUUCUUCAGAUUCUUCCUUCAUCUGUGUGCCUUGGGGACCUCCUCUCCUUCCUGCCUCCUGCCCCCUGCCACUUUAUCAGGUCAGCAGAGCAAUAGGGCACUGCAGAUUCAAAAUAGAAACUGACAUCCCUUUGCAGGUGAGGACGACACCUUGGUCCAUCGUUUUGCCUAAUCACUGGGCAUUCCCUCUGGAUGUUCUGGAGCCCCACAGGCUCCUGUAAGAGGGUCAGUGGCUUUGGCCUCCUGUUCCUUGCCACUCAGUGUGUGGGAAGAUCUUAGACCUUCCUCUGGAAGCAUGGCCAGGUCUGGCUGAAACUUUAUAACCCAGAGCAAUCACCUCUCAACCUUGACAUCCUGGCCACAGCCCCAAGCUCUUCAUGGUGACCCCCCCUUCAAUACUGACCAGGACUUGUCCCCUCCCCACCCAGUUCCAUCCCCCUCUGCUGUCCUCCCCUUCAGCCUCUCCACGGUGCCUUCUGGAUCUCCUAGUCCAAGGGGAACAAAUUUCUUGCAUUCUCAGCCUCUUCAAUGCAUUUUCUAUCCACUCCACUCUGAACCACAACGUGGGUCUCCUCUGACAACCCUUCUUCCCUGUGUCUUCUCAAAUGAAGUUUGCACAUUCCCCUCACUCCUUUGACUCUCAGGCCUAGAGUAGGAUUUGCAAUCUCCCUGAUAGCCAGUGCUCCUCCGCCUUGUGGUAAAAGCCCCUCUUCUUUUAGGACUCAUGGCACUGGCUCCCCAUCUUCCCACAGUCCCCACUGUGGCCUCUGCCUCCAUCUAAGAGGCAGUGGCGCACCACCAUCUUGGAUUCCUGUUCCCUGGUUUUCUCUCCUCAUCAGCCUCUAGGUUUUGCAUUCAUGCAUUCUUACCCACAUCCAUGUUCCCAGCACCAGGAGGGGCCCAGGCCACCAGGAGACAUGAACAUAUUUCAUGGAUAAAUGAAUGACCACAGGGAGAAGAUGGUGAGAGGGAUAGACAUGAGUUCCUCCUGCCAUCUUAUUGCUCCAGCCAGAGCUCCCCCCGAAGCAAAGGUAGGGGAGUUACCCAGAGAAUACAUGAUAGUGUUUCAUUUGACACUGCACCUGGUUCCUCAGCCCCAUGCUGGUAAUAUUUUUAGGUGUAAAAUUUUCCUCAGCCUCAUGCUGGUAAUAUUCUUAGGUGUAAUAUUCUAAGGUGUAAAAUUUGCUGAUCUAGUGUUCCAGAAUCAGGCCUCUGAUAGGAGGUUGGAGAAAUGACAGAAAAAUGUAGCUUUUCCCAGUACAGGCCAGUUCCAAUGUCUCUCCCCUUUCCUGGUUUAAAAGGAGACUCCAAACAUGCUGUAUAUAUGGUAGCCACUAGUCACUUGAUGGCUAUUCAGUACUUGAAAUAUGACUAAUGUGACUGAGGAGCCAAAUUAUUUUUAUUUAAUUUUAAUUUUUAAUUUAAAAGCAGAUACUUGAUUAAGUAACAGAGAAGUUUUAGGUAUACCUGGAACAACUCAGGAUGUGAAUCUACUUUUUUUUUUAUUUAUUUUUUUGGAGCAGAGUCUUCCUCUGUGGCCCAGGCUGGAGUGCAAUGGUACAAUCUUGGCUCACUGCAACCUCUGCCUCCUCAG